Molecule: ribosomal RNA, 132 nt
Filed under: Escherichia coli
Lineage: Bacteria; Pseudomonadati; Pseudomonadota; Gammaproteobacteria; Enterobacterales; Enterobacteriaceae
Description: partial 16S ribosomal RNA
Rfam family: Bacterial small subunit ribosomal RNA
Source: RNAcentral
AAAUUGAAGAGUUUGAUCAUGGCUCAGAUUGAACGCUGGCGGCAGGCCUAACACAUGCAAGUCGAACGGUAACAGAAAGAAGCUUGCUUCUUUGCUGACGAGUGGCGGACGGGUGAGUAAUGUCUGGGAAAC